RNAcentral lists this ribosomal RNA (497 nucleotides) under uncultured bacterium. RNAcentral's name for it is "partial 16S ribosomal RNA". It matches the Rfam family "Bacterial small subunit ribosomal RNA", at positions 28 to 507 of the family's 1533-position model. The record is from RNAcentral.
GACGAACGCUGGCGGCGUGCCUAAUACAUGCAAGUUGAGCGCUGAAGGUUGGUACUUGUACCAACUGGAUGAGCAGCGAACGGGUGAGUAACGCGUGGGGAAUCUGCCUUUGAGCGGGGGACAACAUUUGGAAACGAAUGCUAAUACCGCAUAAAAACUUUAAACACAAGUUUUAAGUUUGAAAGAUGCAAUUGCAUCACUCAAAGAUGAUCCCGCGUUGUAUUAGCUAGUCGGUGAGGUAAAGGCUCACCAAGGCGAUGAUACAUAGCCGACCUGAGAGGGUGAUCGGCCACAUUGGGACUGGGACACGGCCCAAACUCCUACGGGAGGCAGCAGUAGGGAAUCUUCGGCAAUGGACGAAAGUCUGACCGAGCAACGCCGCGUGAGUGAAGAAGGGUUUCGGAUCGUAAAACUCUGUUGGUAGAGAAGAACGUUGGUGAGAGUGGAAAGCUCAUCAAGUGACGGUAACUACACAGAAAGGGACGGCUAACUACGUG